CUUCACAUGACUGUUUUCUGACAUUUUUGUGGGUGCUUUCGUUUAAUUAUAACAGCACCAACAAAAUUGGCCAAAGAAGAGGGCCAAAUUUAACACCUACGCUGCCUGUGUUUCUUUUUCGACCUGUACUUAUGCGGAUCAUUAAGUUCGCCGACGCUCCUUAUAUGUGACUUGGUUUCCCGAGUUUUGUCUGGGUUUUGGAUCUAUGCGAUCCCACACAGCUGGGGCGAAAGUAAUAGCAAUAGGAAAAUCAUAUUUGUAUAUAGAAAUAAAUACCAUUUAGCGCUUUAUUAAAUUCAGAAUAGUACUGAAUACUUAAUACCCACGUAGUAUUUAAAUCCAAAUAUUUUCAGUUUUAAACUCAACUCUACAGACCUUUGAAUGCGACCCCAUCUGUGUACUCAACUAGUAAAUGGGAAUGAAUUUGUUGGACUUAAAGGGGGAAAGAGAUCAUAAUUUACUUUACCACAGCAAAUGCUGUCUGGCAGUUAGAGGUUUUACUGUAGUCGGCCGAGCCCUGGCCAAUUUGUCAAUUUAAUUUCAUUUAAUGCUAUUCUAUUUCAAUAUCCCUGCUUUAUUUAGACGACUAUUUUGUGGCUUCUGUUUCUUUCUCUAUUAUCUAUAUCUAUUACGUGUGGAGUUCGGACUGCACAAUAAAAUACGAUUCCUAUUCUUCGAUUCAUUGAUUCAUUCAUAAAUCAAAGUAACAAUAGCAUUUGUAUAUUAUUCCUCCUUUAUUUAAUUGGUUCAUACCCUGCUAUUCGGGAUUACAGAGGUGUUUUGUAUCUAUCAUGUUGUCUUUCCAGAGAAUCUCUUCUGGUCUUUUAAUAAUCUUCACUUUCUUGUCUAGUUAGAUAUCAUUAAAUAAUACGAAUAUGAUUAGUUUCUAUCUAAUCAUAGAACACUGGCGAAAAUUGGAUUGCCAGGUAUCUAAUAGUCGGGAGAUUGAACCACUCGUUAACCCUUCUUCGAAUGACUUUGUGUGUAUUUCUGCUGUUGGCGGUGUAUCGCAAAUUGAAAUGCGGUGCACGUGACGUAGUCGCAGACAUGGCUAAAAUCAAAAUGCGUGGUCAAAUUGUACGUACGUUGGCCCCAACUUGCGAUUGUGUUGGUAAGUGUGUUUCCCAGUGCGCGGAGCCCACCUGAAAUGGCCACAACUUGAGCCACUUUUGGCCACCACUCGGCGGCUUUUUGGCCUUUCCGCUGCGCGUUUCAUUUCAUUUUUAUUGUAUGUUUUGGUGCCAAAUUAUUUGCCCCCACAAAAUGUGGAUGACAGCACCCACAGCAGCACCACCGCACUACCAAAUCACACCACCAAAUCGCACCACCACCAUAACAGAGGUUUCCCAAAAAGAGAAUGUGGGCGUUGGUGUAAAGCUAAACUUCUGGCUCUGCGUUUGACAUCUGGAUGGAAUAAGCUGCCACAACAAAUACUAGUUUUAUUAACAAUGUAUUUCCAAUGUAAAUAUAUUUAAACAUUCUCUUGUUUAUUGUGCGUAAUUAUAGCCUUUAGACACUUUAAAUAAAAGUGUGUAGAAUGCGAUCAUAAAAAAAAGAGUUUUAGGAAAUAGAUAAAUCGAUGGUAUUCGUUAUAGUAAAAUUACCGACCCCUAAUAGCCAAAAUUUAGCAAACCCCUUUGGGUGCUUCCACCUGCCAGGGUUUUCCCCGCAAUCAACCUGUGCCACCUCAACUAAUUCUAAGCUGUGAUUUACAUAAUCCCAUCGACAGCCGACAACCGCCGUCCGACCCCCAUUGAUUCUAAUAUUUGUAUACUUUUAACACGUUUGGCAAAUGCAAAUUUCUCUGCUGAGAACUCUAGCAGCCAAGAAACGGAACUUUCGUAGGCGGAAAACCAAUUUGUAUCGCCUAGAAUGCCUGAAAUUCCCAAUAGAUUGCAUAAGACUGAUCAGCUGCCAGCAAUUGUUUAAAAUAAAAGCACAAUUAUCGAAAUAAUACAGUAUUAGCUUUGAAAUGUUAAUAGAAUGCGACGCGUUUAACAUUAUAUUGGUAUUAGUAAUAGUAAUACAACUAAAUAUCUAAUAACUCAAAGGCGAAUGUAAAUACUUCAAAAAAAUUGGAUUCUACGAGACUUCUAUGAAUGAACGGAUAGUAACUAGUAAAUUGCAGCAGCUAACUUGAAAACUGGAAAGGGGCGUAGUUAGUUGUCGUUGGAAUUUUGCUAACAAGUGGCCAGUCGACUCACCUCGCAAACAGUUAACAGCUAAAAAGUUAAGCGGGUACCGGCUAAACUGGCAUUUGACACAAUUCGCCAUGAAAAUAGUUCAGUGAUUCCAUGCCUCAUUUAAUGACAAAAACUAACUAACUAAUAAAUUACACUUUGUAUAAAAAGAUAUCAUAGCUUAAUUGCUUGUGGAGGCGAUUUUCAAUAAUUACACUAUUUAAAGCAAAACAACGGGCCCUUAAUUGUGCAGAAGCUUACAAUCCUACUGCGGGCGGUAAAAGUUCCCGAUCUUCCAUCGAACCAAAUUAAAUUUGGCAAAUUAGUGGAUUCGACUAUCUGUGAUCUAUUGGCGAUCUGGUUGGACCACUCUCUAGUUCCCGAUUCCGAUUCCCAUCCAAAGUCGAAGGUGAAAAGCUUUGAAAUACUGGAAACUGCUGCGCCAUUGAUUGCGUUGCGUAUCAGCUCUUUGCGACUUAUCGCCAACUUAUAGUCGACCAGGCCAACUCAAGGCUAUUGGCUAUAGUUUUUAGCGUUUUUUCUUUUAUUUUGCAUUAUUAUUACUUUUGUUUCGCUCGAAAGUGCGUCGCAUUUUGCUUACCAGCACACAGGUAGAACACAAAAACAGAACACAAAAAUAACGUGAAAUCCCUCGGAACCACAGUAUUCAUAGUGGAAAAU
Long non-coding RNA from Drosophila yakuba, 2861 nucleotides. RefSeq lists it as uncharacterized. The transcript has 2 exons. NCBI's taxonomy places the organism in Eukaryota, Metazoa, Arthropoda, Insecta, Diptera, Drosophilidae. The record is from RefSeq and is a predicted model, not a curated record.